GAUGAACGCUAGCGGCAGGCUUAAUACAUGCAAGUCGUGGGGCAGCAUGAGUAGCAAUACUUGAUGGCGACCGGCAAACGGGUGAGGAACACGUACACAACCUUCCUUCAAGCGGGGAAUAGCCCAGAGAAAUUUGGAUUAAUACCCCAUAAUAUAUUUGAUAAGGCAUCUUAUUAAAUAUUAAAGCUUCGGCACUUGAUGAUGGGUGUGCGGCUGAUUAGAUAGUUGGCGGGUAACGGGCCCACCAAGUCUACGAUCAGUAGCUGAUGUGAGAGCAUGAUCAGCCACACGGGCACUGAGACACGGGCCCGACUCCUACGGGAGGCAGCAGUAAGGAAUAUUGGACAAUGGACGAAAGUACUGAUCCAGCCAUGCCGCGUGAAGGAUUAAGGUCCUCUGGAUUGUAAACUUCUUUUAUAUGGGUACGAAAAAGGGCGAAUUCUUGUUCGACUUGACGGUACCAUAUGAAUAAGCACCGGCUAACU
Molecule: ribosomal RNA, 485 nt
Filed under: uncultured bacterium
Lineage: Bacteria
Description: bacterial SSU rRNA
Rfam family: Bacterial small subunit ribosomal RNA
Source: RNAcentral